RNAcentral lists this ribosomal RNA (253 nucleotides) under uncultured bacterium. Its description in RNAcentral is "partial 16S ribosomal RNA". It matches the Rfam family "Bacterial small subunit ribosomal RNA", at positions 524 to 776 of the family's 1533-position model. The record is from RNAcentral.
GACGAACCGUGCGAACGUUGUUCGGAAUCACUGGGCUUAAAGGGCGCGUAGGCGGCUUCGCAAGUCCGGGGUGAAAGCCCCCAGCUCAACUGGGGAAGUGCCUUGGAUACUGCGGGGCUCGAGGAGGGUAGGGGUGCGCGGAACUUCCGGUGGAGCGGUGAAAUGCGUUGAUAUCGGAAGGAACGCCGGUGGCGAAAGCGGCGCACUGGACCCUUUCUGACGCUGAGGCGCGAAAGCCAGGGGAGCAAACGGG